AUACUUACCUGGCAGGGGAGAUACCAUGAUCAUGAAGGUGGUUUUCCCAGGGAGAGACUUAUCCUUUGCACUCUGAGUGUGUUGACCUCUGCGAUUUCCCCAAAUGUGGGAAACUCCACUGCCUAAUUGGUGGUAGUGGGACUCUGCGUAUGGGCUCUCCUCUG
This is a small nuclear RNA of Echinops telfairi (small Madagascar hedgehog), 164 nucleotides long. RefSeq annotates it as U1 spliceosomal RNA. The transcript has a single exon. Lineage: Eukaryota; Metazoa; Chordata; Mammalia; Afrosoricida; Tenrecidae. The record is from RefSeq and is a predicted model, not a curated record.